ACAACAUUUGGACCGUCGGGUUAUCGAGCAAUCUCACCCGCUGGGUGGUGGCCUCCCUUUAUCGU
Molecule: microRNA precursor, 65 nt
Filed under: Bombyx mori (domestic silkworm)
Lineage: Eukaryota; Metazoa; Arthropoda; Insecta; Lepidoptera; Bombycidae
Description: mir-2774 microRNA precursor family
Source: Rfam by way of RNAcentral